RNA transcript from Ziziphus jujuba (common jujube), 2025 nucleotides. RefSeq lists it as uncharacterized. The transcript has 10 exons. The record is from RefSeq and is a predicted model, not a curated record. Lineage: Eukaryota; Viridiplantae; Streptophyta; Magnoliopsida; Rosales; Rhamnaceae.
AUUUUUACUUAUUUUUUUUUCUUUUUUUUUUUCAUCCUACUUUUCUCUUCUCUUUUAUCACCUUUCCCCCAAAGCUGGCUCAUCUCUUCUCAUUCAUCAAGCUUUCUUCACUUAGUUGCCUUUUUGCCAAACAGCCCCGUUUCAUCUCUCCGGUUACCAAAAUUCCAUACAAAGAAAUUGAUGGUUUGGAAUUCGAAAUUAAGAUAUUGUGAAGAAGGAGGACAUGGAUUUGUAUACGAAGCUAAGGGUGGUGUUGCAUGGCGGAAGCAGAUACCCAAGCUUACUGUUUCACUUGGCCUCUCUGAUAAAAUGUAUCAAAUCGGUCUUGAUGAUGCUCUUAUUUAAUCUGGGUAGCUUCAAAUUGAUAAUUCCCUAAAUUCUUUUGUUUUUUGUUUUUUCAACAAAUUUUCGAUUCAACAGUCCACUGGUGUCUUCAUAGCUGUGUCAAGGUAUGCAAGUGCAACUCCCCUGCUGCCUUCUAUUCUUAGCCGUGGUGUUGGUUGGCAGGGAGUCGGCAUUCUUUUCUCUGGUAUAUUUGGAACUGGGAGUGGAUCAUCUGUAUUUGUUAAAAAUGUUGGUUUGUUAGCUUUGACACGUGUUGGCAGCUGAAGAGUUGUUCAGAUUUCAGCUGGAUUCAUGAUCUUCUUUUCUAUACUAGGAAAAUUUGGAGCUGUCUUUGCCUCAAUUCCAGCACCAAUCAUUGCGGCUUUGUAUUGCUUGCCUAUGUUGGUUCAGCAGGUCUCAGCUUACUUCAAUUUUGCAAUCUAAACAGUUUUAGGACGAAGUUUAUUAUAGGCUUCCCAAUUUUCAUAGGCUUUUCAAUCCCACAAUACUUCAAUGAGUAUACUGUUGUUAAUGGUUAUGGUCCAGUGCACACUGGAGCAAGAUGGUUCAAUGACAUUAUCAACGUACUGUUCUCGUCAGAACCAUUUGUUGCUGGUAUGUUGGCAAUUUUCCUAGACAUCACUCUGCAUAAGAAAGACACUGCAACAAGAAAAGAUAGAGGCAUGCAUUGGUGGGAUAGGUUCCAGUCGUUUAAGAUAGAUACAAGAAGUAAGGAAUUCUACCAUCUGCCUUUCAAUCUCAACAAGUUUUUCCCAUCAGUAUGAUAUCGAAAACACAGUAGUUGUGAAGCUGGUGUUCUCCAAUGGCCAAAUACUCCUCUAAAUAUCUCUUUGUGGGCACAAUUUGUUGCAGCGAUCCAUUUUUCCCAUAAAUCAUGAUCCUUGAAAUGGUAUCAAAUCAGUUUCGGUUAUACUGGAGGUGCCAGUAUGCUUUUAAUGCUGUUACUAAAUUUUGGCAUUAUACUAAUUGUGGUGCCAAUUAGUGUUCGAGAUUUUGACAUUGAUAGGGAACUUUGGGUCAAAUUGAGAUUGAUACCAACAGAGCCUUUUGUAGGAGCUGUUUCAUGGGCUUUCAUUGCACUUCCAAAAAUCAAAUUUGUGUUGUCACCAUUCCACUUGUUCAAUUUAAUGGCAAUUCCUGUUCUUUCAAUGUAAGUGAACUUUGUCUCUCUCAGUUUUUUAUAUGCUCUGUUCAAAUUCAUUUGUUGAUGUUUUCUAUUAUUUUUUAUGCCUAUAAAUAAAUUAGAUUGCUUUUGACAAUAAUGGGAUAAUUUUUACUUUAAUGGUGUUUUAUCUAUAUCUUGUAUAUUGGUAUACUUGUUUUCUUUGUUUUUCUUUCCACUUUUUGAUGCGGAUGCUUGACUGCUUGCAUUCUUGGUUUUUGACAAAACUUCUCACCAAGAAUUGGAUGCUUAGAAAACUGUCUUAUUCCAUGGCGGGUGGGGCAACAUCUAUUGUUUAUAUAUUGAUGGUGGAUUCACCAAGAAAAUGAAAAUAGCUUUUAGCAAUUUUAUAGUUGUUAGCCGAGGAAUGUUCUGUUGGUGGCAGAGAAUUUUUGCUUCUUGUCAGAGCUUUAUAUACAGCAAGUGGAAAAAAUCAUCUUAUAAUAUUCUCUAAUUUUUAUUCAUAAAACACUUGUACAUUUUUCUCUUACUAAUUCAGAUUUAGUUUUUAGUUUUUC